Molecule: ribosomal RNA, 468 nt
Filed under: uncultured bacterium
Lineage: Bacteria
Description: partial 16S ribosomal RNA
Rfam family: Bacterial small subunit ribosomal RNA
Source: RNAcentral
GACGAACGAUGGCGGCGUGCUUAACACAUGCAAGUCGAACGGAAAGGCCCUGCUUUUGUGGGGUGCUCGAGUGGCGAACGGGUGAGUAACACGUGAGUAACCUGCCCUUGACUUUGGGAUAACUUCAGGAAACUGGGGCUAAUACCGGAUAGGAGCUCCUGCUGCAUGGUGGGGGGUGGAAAGUUUCGGCGGUUGGGGAUGGACUCGCGGCUUAUCAGCUUGUUGGUGGGGUAGUGGCUUACCAAGGCUUUGACGGGUAGCCGGCCUGAGAGGGUGACCGGCCACAUUGGGACUGAGAUACGGCCCAGACUCCUACGGGAGGCAGCAGUGGGGAAUAUUGCACAAUGGGCGGAAGCCUGAUGCAGCAACGCCGCGUGCGGGAUGACGGCCUUCGGGUUGUAAACCGCUUUCGCCUGUGACGAAGCGUGAGUGACGGUAAUGGGUAAAGAAGCACCGGCUAACUACGUG